Molecule: signal recognition particle RNA, 99 nt
Filed under: Weeksellaceae bacterium
Lineage: Bacteria; Pseudomonadati; Bacteroidota; Flavobacteriia; Flavobacteriales; Weeksellaceae
Description: signal recognition particle sRNA small type
Rfam family: Bacteroidales small SRP
About the family: The non-coding component of the signal recognition particle in Bacteroides
Source: RNAcentral
AGGCAAGUCCUACACAACCAGCUCCUGCAAAAUCCCCCAGGAUGGGAACAUAGCAAGGGUAUGCGGUCGAAGCGGUGUGAUGUAGAUAGCUUGCCUUUU